GAGGGAAACCCACGGUUUCAGCCUAGCCCUAUUAUCUCAAAACCCAAUCCCUAAUGACGCGUUUUUCUCUCGCUCUCUCUCUCUCCCAGAGUUCUUUCUCUAGCUCUAUUCUUUCUCUUGCUCUCUCUCUCUCCCAGCGUUCUUUUCUUUCUCUCGCUCUCUCUCUCUGCCAGCGUCUCAGCGUUCUUUCUACCCUCUCCAUCGCACGAGCUGUUGGAGCACACCACGGCAAAGGAGCACUCUCUCCACUGGAAUUGUAGGCUCUUUCUUCUCCAAUUUGCGAUCGAAGAGAGUGGAGAAAAUGGCGACCGGUCACUCCCAGAGACUUUGUUCGAUUUGAUGAAGCAUUACUUCGAAACCGAAGAGGGUAAACAGCUUUGCAAUCUCGUUUACCAGAUCAAUCUCGCACCCAAGGAAGCCUUGUAAAGUUGGGAUUAAGUAUCUUGAAGAUGGAACCAUAGUAAGAGUAUCCAGAGGCUUGGGUGCAUCAGGAUCCAUUAUUCCUCUUCCUGAGAUAUUGAAGAUAAGGACUACGCCAAGCCCUAUAGUUGCUGGUCCAAAGGAUACUCCAACGGAUGUUGUGAUGGAGAAGACUUAUGAUGCAAAAACUGGGCGAGGCAUGCUUGAACUUUGAAAGACCUGUAUUCUUAUAUAGUUUUUUCAUGGAAUGGAACCAGGGUAAAGAUAUUGCAGAAAAGUGGCUAUCUCAAAUCUCAGUUGUCGCCAAGUGACAAAGAAAAUAUCCAAAUUUGUACUCUGCUUCCUUUAUACCUAUUAUUCAGUUGAUGUUCUAGACAAGUGAAUAAUCAGAUUGCUAAUUUGGUGUCUGACCUUUUUUGGUUCAAUGUGCUACUUUCACUUGCAUAUAUGCUUUUACUGUGCUCUUCAGUAAAUUGUAUUUCCCAUAAAAGUAAUCUGCAAAGGUAAUCAUAUUUUUAUCUAACCGUAUUAUGCCCACCAAAAUGAUGACAGGAGUGAUUUUUGCCUAAAAAAUGUUUACUUGCUGAUUUAAAUACAAUAAUUUUACAUUACUUUGGUGAUUUUUGGUACCUUUUUAGUUGAAUCUAUUCAUGAUGUUUCAUUUCUCUGUUCCUUGUUUUUCAUGUAUAUGAGGAUUUAAUGCUUUGUUAUAUAUAGACCUUGUUUAGAGUUUGUCUAAUUUUUUUUAUUUUUGUUUGAUAGAACUACCCAGUGCAACAUCAGUAGAUGCUUAAGGUGAGGCCCAAUAUUUAACCAAGGAGAUGUUCAAGAAACCAUUUCUGAGAUUUUCAACAACUUUCUUUUGAUCGGAAAAUCUGAGGUUCAAUUUCCACGAAUCUUGGAUCAUGGAAGUCUUGUAAGAAAUUCUCAUAUUCCAUGAGAAGUAUUUGCUAUUCUAGCUUGUGAUUUUGAGUGCAAAGUUUUCAUUUGUUUAUAUCCUACAGAUCAGGCCAUUGGUAAAACCAACUCAGGUGAGGGCUUACCGGACUCCAAUUUGCAAAGCUAAGCGAGGAGGGUUUAAGGAUACUCCAGCUGAUGAUUUCCUUGCAGUUGUUUUAAAGGUGCUUUGCUGUCUAUAUCACCACUCUUUCCAAAAAAUAUUAAAUUGUUUUGGCCAAAUCAGAUACAGUUUAGUGAAUAUUGAUUUAAUCUUUUAUGGUUCACAUUUGAAUUUAUUUUCUAAUACAUUUGAAUCUCUUCUGAUGGUUGUUGAGUUAUAUGAAUUCAGUUCUA
This is a long non-coding RNA of Humulus lupulus (European hop), 1713 nucleotides long. RefSeq lists it as uncharacterized. Lineage: Eukaryota; Viridiplantae; Streptophyta; Magnoliopsida; Rosales; Cannabaceae. The transcript has 8 exons. The record is from RefSeq and is a predicted model, not a curated record.